Molecule: long non-coding RNA, 3132 nt
Organism: Artibeus jamaicensis (Jamaican fruit-eating bat)
Lineage: Eukaryota; Metazoa; Chordata; Mammalia; Chiroptera; Phyllostomidae
Exons: 3
Source: RefSeq, a predicted model, not a curated record
CGCCGGCGCCGCUGCCGCCGCCGUGCUGCAACGCACUGGCGUCAUGACGUCACUGCCCCGCCCCUCCGGUUUCCUGCAGACUCGCGUGGAGCCUUUAGGGGGAAGCAGUGGGCGUGGCUAAAGAUGGUUAAAAGUGGUGAUAAAUGCAUGAUGUUGACCUUUCAGCAUUUGGAAAAAAUGUGUGCGAGAGAAACAUCGAUGUGAGAGAGAAACAUUGGUUGCCUCCCGUAUGUGCCCUGACCAACAAUCAAAUCAGCAGCCUUUUUGGUGUAUGGGACAAUGCUCCAACAAACGAAGCCACCUGUCUAGGGCCUACCUAAUUUUUUAAAUAAGGAAAGAGAUUGCCUUUGAAAACAGAAAGCUGAAUGCCCUCGCAAAAACACUUGGACCUUGAAACUCAACUGUCAAAGUACAGUCAUACCUCGGUACUCAUUGGCUUCAGAACUUGCCAAAACCUGUACUCAUCAUAUUUUGGCGAGAAAAAAAAUGUUUCAAUACUCGGAACUUGCUCAGGACUCAUGCUUGCUAGCACUUGUAUGAAUCACUCUGCCGCCCCACAAGAGAAAAUGUUUUAUCGUUUGGUACUCAUCAGUUUUGACACUGGUCAUGAUUUUUGGAAUGAAUUAAUGAUGAGUACCAAGGUACCUCUGUAUUCUUUUAUUUAUGAAGAAACAAUUGUCAUACGUAUCAAGCUUUCCCAUUGUUAAAUGGUUUGAAAUAAUUUUGAAUUAGCCAUUAGAAGAGAUGGAAGCAAGUUUGAGAGUCUAGAAGUACUUUAUAUGUUUUAUUAGUGAUUUAGAUGAUAUUUAUGAAUUCAGUUUGUGGUUGAUUCUAAGUUAUAGGGUUAUUAGCACUUUAGAAUAUAAGAAUGGAAUUCAAAUGAACUUGGAUAGAUUUAAAGUUGAUCAUUCUAAAGAGGGACACAUGUAGGCAGGAAAGACAAAUAUAUAAUAACUGUAAUAUGCAAAUGUGGUAGGAAGGAAUUCAGAGUACCAAAUUGAGUAAUCUCAAGGUAAUUCUUGUGUUACUUUCUUCAGAUGUUAACUGAAAUACUCUGGUCAGUCAUGGGCCUACCAAUUUAAGGAAUUAUUAUGAAUUGUAUCAGAUUCAGAGAAUAUAAAAAUUAUUAAAGGCUGGAAAUUUAGAAAUGUGAAAACCUAGAAAAUAAGUCGAAUUUCAGUUAUGUAAGGUCUCGAAAUUUUUUACAUCUCAAACACACAUUCUCAGAAGCUGCUCCAGGAUACACUCCACCAAAAUGAGGGAAUUAAUCAGAGACAGAAGAAAACAGUGGAUACAAGAUAUAAGCCAAGGAAGUUCCCAGGACAGAGGGGAGGGUGAGCCUGGAAGGCAAGUAUGCACCUUGUGUCCAGGACCAUCCGGUUGAUGUACAUUACAAAGUGCCAGGAGAGACUUCAUUGAGAAGAUGAAUAUGAAAAAAUCCAUGUGUGUUUAAAUAUUUUAAGAAAAAAGUUAUACGGUUGGUGGAGAGUGUGGGUUAAAUUAGUGAGAGUACAUAAUCUACUUGACAAUACAAACAAAGAUGAACUUCAGGGAAAUAAAAGUUCAAGCCAAAAAGAAAAGAAUUAUAGUAUACAUAUGACAGAGCUUAGCCAUAAAUAACAUUUAUUUAUAUACCAACUAUAAUAUAAACACUAAAUAUUAAUCUAAUGUAAGUUAUUAUCUAAUGCUACUGAGUGGAUGAAGAGAUGAGAAGAGGGGAUGUGUGUGAUGGGGGAUGGAAAGGGUGAUAAAAAAACCCCUACAUCCUUGUAAUUCACAGUGAGAAGUUAUGGAUAAUACCUACAUCUGAAAAAUGAAGUUAGCAAUAUAAGCAAAUAAAACAUACUUAAAAUUGUGAAAGUAAACACCAGAAACAUUAGUUAACUAAUUAAUCAAAUAAACAAAGCAAAAAAUCUAAAAGCGUUGAUUAUGGUUGUCUUGGAGUGGGCAGAAAGGUGCAAGAUGUGGGGGCAUUGGAGGGAGGGAGGACUGCUAUUUUUCACAACAAACUAUCGAUUGGAUUCUUUAAACUAUGUUCAUUUUAAAUUUUGAUUAAAACAACUAAAACCAAAAAGAAAAUCACAUUAUAUAACUGUAUAAAAAUAUAGCUAAGAGGUGAUCUAAUAAUAUUUGAUGGAAGGAAAUUUGUCUUUUCUUAGGGUGAUAACCAACUGCUUGUUGUAUUUGUGAAGUCAAGAUUUUGGUUAGGCUCACUGUCCUCUCCAGCACGUGCUCUCCUCUCUGAAGCAGUUGUGCCUUUCCCUUCCUCCUUGUAUCCUCCCCUAGGUGCUUACCUUUGCCUUUCUCUUUCCUAAGUUCCAAGGGCCCUUCUUUUGCUUCUGUAACGUGUUUCCUGAGCCUAGGUAGCCCAGCUGGCUCACUUCUGCUACCUCUGUAGCUUUCUAAAUGACCUUUCUCUUAUAACUUGGGGGUCUGGGGUGAAAAAGGCCCUGGCUGGAUAGUUCAGUUGGUUAGAGCGUCAUCCUGAUUGGAGACUGUUCCCCACCAGGGUUGUGGGUUUGAUCCCAGUCAGUGUACGUACAAGAAGCAACCAAUGAAAGCAUAAAUAAGUGAAAAAUUUAUUUCCAUUUAUGUGGAAAUUCAUGUUUCUCACUUUCUCGCUCCCUCUCUCCCCUGACCCUCAAAUCAAUUUAAGAAAAAGAUUUUGGUUCAUGCUGUGUUCUGGUAAGGAUUGUUUUAUGGGUAUUUCCGAAUAGAUGAGGUAUUUCCUUUCCUGAAGCUCUUGGGACUAACAGUCCAUACUCAGCCAUCCGGCAUGCCUUCUGUGCAGUUAUGGAGUAAAGCCUGAGUGCAUUGCCCUGGCUCCUCUUCUGAGUUCCUUACAACUCCAUGGGCCACUGGCAGAGGUGUGGUGUGAAGGACAGAGCACUGACUUUGCGGACCUUAGGUCAAACUCCAGCUCAAUCACAUGCUAUUUGUGUGACCUCAGAAAAGUUACCUAAUCACUCUGAACCAUAAUUUCUUCAUCUGUAAAAUGGGGCUAUGUUUCACCCACCUCGUAGCAGCGCUAAGUGAUUAAAUAAAAUUAUGUUUAUAAAGUACUUGGCAGAAGCUCAAAAAAUAUUAAUUUCUUCCUCUCACGGGUUCAGAGCAGUAGUCAUUUGAAUUAUA